Molecule: long non-coding RNA, 343 nt
Organism: Ixodes scapularis (black-legged tick)
Lineage: Eukaryota; Metazoa; Arthropoda; Arachnida; Ixodida; Ixodidae
Exons: 3
Source: RefSeq, a predicted model, not a curated record
GCCUUUUCUAUCUUGUGUCAUUUAUGUAACGUAAUAUAUCUGUUCUUCAUAUUUAUAAUCGCUGCAGGCCUGGUCAAGGAGGAGUUGCUCAGUGAACUACUAGUUUGAGUUCCCUGAGACGGACACCACUGACAUCACCUACAGUGCCGAGGUGCUGCCACGGACUUUGGCUCGUGGGGGUGCCGUCGCUACUGACAAAGCCUGUGCUCCCCGUUGUCCCUGUUGAAAUGGUGGCUGGAACUUGGAGAGGGUUUGCUGCCACAGCCGGAUCCAGUGUUACAUUCCUGUGGCUUUUUGGUUGUUUCCCAAUUAUUGAAGGGAGUUGCAGGCUUAUCAUGGGCAA